RNAcentral lists this ribosomal RNA (433 nucleotides) under uncultured bacterium. RNAcentral describes it as "partial 16S ribosomal RNA". It matches the Rfam family "Bacterial small subunit ribosomal RNA", at positions 29 to 507 of the family's 1533-position model. The record is from RNAcentral.
AACGAACGCUGGCGGCAUGCCUAACACAUGCAAGUCGAACGAUGCCUUCGGGCAUAGUGGCGCACGGGUGCGUAACGCGUGGGAAUCUGCCUUUCGGUUCGGAAUAACUCAGGGAAACUUGAGCUAAUACCGGUUAACGUCGCAAGACCAAAGAUUUAUCACCGAAAGAUGAGCCCGCGUAGGAUUAGCUAGUUGGUGAGGUAAAGGCUCACCAAGGCGACGAUCCUUAGCUGGUCUGAGAGGAUGAUCAGCCACACUGGGACUGAGACACGGCCCAGACUCCUACGGGAGGCAGCAGUGGGGAAUAUUGGACAAUGGGCGAAAGCCUGAUCCAGCAAUGCCGCGUGAGUGAUGAAGGCCUUAGGGUUGUAAAGCUCUUUUACCCGGGAAGAUAAUGACGGUACCGGGAGAAUAAGCCCCGGCUAACUCCGUG